This is a non-coding RNA of Coffea arabica (coffee), 2207 nucleotides long. The record is from RefSeq and is a predicted model, not a curated record. NCBI's taxonomy places the organism in Eukaryota, Viridiplantae, Streptophyta, Magnoliopsida, Gentianales, Rubiaceae.
UUUGAACUGGUUGCUCCAAAUUUCAAGUAAAGCUCCAAAGCAUUUGCUAAUCGAUAUGGCAUUUCGGUUGAGAAAAUUGUUACUGACAAAUGGCUGCUCAUCCUACAACAUUUCAACCGUCAUGGCUAACAACAAAAACAAGUAUUCUACUGUAUUCACCCCACUUAGACCUAUAUCAAACACUUGCAUGAACAACUUUCUUUCCACCGAUCAAAGCACCUUCAAGCCUCAGGUCGACUCUCUUAAGUCCGGUGAGUCCACUGCCACUCUAGUUCUCCAGCAUGACUGUUGCUUAGAUGAUGAUGCUGUGGUUGAUCAAGACUUUCAGAAGUGGCAUAAUGGUGGUGGGACUUUUCACAAAUCAGCAUAUAUUCAUCGAACAGCGGUCAUAGAAUUUGGUGCAGUAGUUCAUUCACAGUCUCUUUUGGGUGAAAAUGUUUCUAUUGGGUCUGGGGCUGUCGUUGGACCUGAUGUCACAAUUGGUCAAUCUACUAGAGUAGGAUACAAUGUUGCUCUUACAAAUUGCACAAUUGGUGAUUCCUGUGUUAUCCACAAUGGUGUCUGCAUUGGCCAAGAUGGAUUUGGAUUUUUGGUGGAUGAACAGGGUAAUAUGUUGAAGAAGCCACAGCAUUUGAAAGUGAAGAUAGGUAACCACGUGGAAAUUGGAGCAAACACAUGUAUUGAUCGAGGCAGUUGGAGAGAUACUAUUGUAGGAGAUCACACAAAAAUAGAUAAUUUGGUUCAGAUUGGUCACAAUGUACAAAUCGGGAAGAACUGCAUGAUUUGUGGGCAAGUUGGAAUUGCAGGUUCAGUAACGAUGGGUGACUACGUGACACUGGGUGGAAGGGUUGCAAUCCGUGAUCAUGUCUGCAUUGCAUCAAGGGUCAGAUUAGCUGCUAGUAGCUGUGUCACAAAAGACAUUAAUCAGCCAGGGGAUUAUGGUGGCUUCCCUGCUAUUUUCCAUGGGCUUUUGCUGCAGAUGCCAAUUGGGAAAUGGCGAAGACAAGUUGCUGCUCAACGUCAGACAUUCAAGUAGGAAACCUGCGUGCGUCUUAGGGAAUCACUGCUACUGUUGAGAUCUUGAUGGCUAACCUUGUGCGACUGCCAUGAUUAUCCUUGGUUCUCGAUGACAUGGAUACAAAACUGCUGAAAUAGCUAGUGGCUUGAAGAAACUUUUGUCUGUGCAUCAUUUUAUGUUAUGAAACAGGCCAUUAUGCAUCUUGGUCUUGCUUGGAAUCUUGCCGUCUGAUCCAAUCGGUAACUGGGCUUUCAGGUGCACUCCGUAACGCCUGCUCUUAAUUCCCCAGGUUCGAUAUCGAAUCUUGGAAGCUAAAGCAGCCUGCAAUUGAGCUUUUCGAUUUGAUAUUUGGUCGUGCAAUGCUUCCCACACCUUUGCAUCCACAUAGACAACUCCUAUUUUUGGUGUUGUUUCCCCUUUAUCUUGGGAGAAACGCGGUAUGGUUGUGGAAGCUAUGGAGUCCUGAUUGUUGUAAAAAGUCAAGAUGCAGUCGUCAAAGUAGGUGUCUGAAUCCUUGUUGGGAUUUUCAAUCUCUAAGGCAUACUCUAUGUUGCCGUUCUCAACUGAGAACUUAGUAAUGGUGUAGUCGGGGCUUUUCGGGCGGAUGCUUAGCCACAUGACGAAGGCUAGCAAUCCCAGAAGGAUAAUGAUUUGGGAAAUCCAGAGUUUGAAGCUCGUGACUUCCACCAUCUUAUCUUUGUUUUUUGACUUCCACUGUAGAUUGAGGGAUUUGGAGGCGGUGGGUGACGAGAAAACAAGUUAUAGCACAAGGCCAAGUAGUUAAGCAUCUGGAACCGUUGUGAAGAGAUGGGGUUGGUUUAGUUGAUGUUGUGAAGGCAUGCCUGCCAAGGCCGAAGCGAUGCUUUUCUUUCACUUUUAGUGAUGCGCCAAGCCUUGAGUGCUUAGAUAAAAGGAAUCUGAGACGUGACUCGCUCAAGGAAGCCAUUCCAAAAUCCAAAUGCAGUUUGGUCAUCUUCCCAAGCCCCACCCCAUCGAGACCAGGAAUAAGAGAAGGCUCCUUCUUUUUCUUUUUCUUUUUUUCCCUUUUAUUUUUGUUUUUGUUUUCACUUUUCCUCCCAUUUCUUCAUCGAAAGCAGAAAUAUAUACAUAUAUAUAUAUCCUACACACUCCCUCUGUUCUAAUCAGAAUCUAUUUAGAAGCCACCUAAAUAUCUGAAUAUUCUACUGCA